UCGAGCGGAUGACGGGAGCUGCUCCUUGAUUCAGCGGCGGACGGGUGAGUAAUGCCUGGGAAUCUGCCUGGUAGUGGGGGACAACGUUUCGAAAGGAACGCUAAUACCGCAUACGUCCUACGGGAGAAAGCAGGGGACCUUCGGGCCUUGCGCUAUCAGAUGAGCCUAGGUCGGAUUAGCUAGUUGGUGGGGUAAUGGCUCACCAAGGCGACGAUCCGUAACUGGUCUGAGAGGAUGAUCAGUCACACUGGAACUGAGACACGGUCCAGACUCCUACGGGAGGCAGCAGUGGGGAAUAUUGGACAAUGGGCGAAAGCCUGAUCCAGCCAUGCCGCGUGUGUGAAGAACGUCUUCGGAUUGUAAAGCACUUUAAGUUGGGAGGAAGGGCAGUAAGCUAAUACCUUGCUGUUUUGACGUUACCGACAGAAUAAGCACCGGCUAACUCUGUG
RNAcentral lists this ribosomal RNA (449 nucleotides) under uncultured bacterium. Its description in RNAcentral is "bacterial SSU rRNA". It matches the Rfam family "Bacterial small subunit ribosomal RNA", at positions 62 to 507 of the family's 1533-position model. The record is from RNAcentral.